This is an RNA transcript of Peromyscus eremicus (cactus mouse), 1549 nucleotides long. It is a transcript of the gene named small ribosomal subunit protein eS6-like, with no coding region annotated. The transcript has 4 exons. The record is from RefSeq and is a predicted model, not a curated record. Lineage: Eukaryota; Metazoa; Chordata; Mammalia; Rodentia; Cricetidae.
CACUCUUGACUUUCCACACUGUGACCUUGAUGAAUCCUUUCAGAUGAAUGCUGGUGUGCAAUUUGCUUUCUCCUUUUCAUGCAGACAUGUCCUCUAAUCCACGGAAUAACGCCACCCACAUUUACCGUGGGUUUCCCCAUCUCAAUUAAUUUAAUCUAGAGAAAUCUCACGGACAAGCCUAAAGGCUGGUCUCCUACAUGAUUCCAGAGCCUUUCAAAUUAACAAUCUUAAGAAGCACAAGAAUUAUCUCAGCCAAUUAAUUAAUUUUUAGAAGGACAGAGUCAACAUGUCAGCAUUUUGCAACUCUGAUAAACUAAUGGAUCCAGAUAUACAUUCCCAAUUACUAUUCACGACGCAACAAAUUUUGUACAUCUGACAGAAUUACAUCACCUAGGAACUACUUGUUCCACAUAUGCCCACUAGUUGGGAUACUCAAACUUACAAACAACAUCUUAAAAAAUUAGGAAACAAAGUGAUCAACGAACACCUGUGUUCAAACGCCUCACUCCACCCAGGGCAGAGCUCUGAGGCUCCUGGUGCUGCAGGCAAAGGCCAGAGACCAGCUCACAGGGAACUAACUUCCUCCAGGAGGCUGAGGAGGAAGAGGAAGUGCCUCUUCCAUGUAACCUUGGAAACCGGGGGAGGCAUUCUGGGGAGGCUUUCCCUUAGCACCACCCUUAAUCUGCUCUGGCAGCCUCAGAGGCGGAGCAACCCAGACUCCUGCAUAGCAGCGGUGACGGUGGUAGGGGCAGGGAGCUAACGGUGGAGUCGCUCUGCCCCUUUGGUCUGCAUCACUCAAGGAGGGGGAGGGAACGGCCAUCACGCUGUCCUGGCUUCCGCGGCUCAGUGCCAGCCGCUGCGCUCAGCGUAGAGCCCGGUGCUGGCACGUGCCAGGGCGACGGUCCCUGGUUCUUGAUCCUGAAGGGGCUCUUCCUUGUCACAAGCUCUUUUGGCUGAAUUCUUGUGACGAUUUUGUUUUGCACGGUCCUCUUCAAGAUGGGGUGGCUGCGGCACCCUCCGGGACCAGAAAAUCCAAGGCAGAUGUUGUGUUUCUUUUGGGGGACACACUGGAUGCAUGGGUUACAGAAGUCGAUCAUAUGACAACUGCUUCAGCUGGAGACGUUGCCCGGAGAAGAUCUCAUCACAUUUGCCAAGAAGCAAAUGAUGCUACUACAGAGAGUAAAGCAAGGUGCACAGAUCAGCAGCAGAAUAUCUGAAUACUCUGGAGAUUGCUAGAUGAAAACAUAAGGAGUGAAUUUCAAACUAUAACUACAGAGAAGGACCUUCUGAACAAGAAUGCAGUCGCUUGGGAAAUAAACAAGAUUUGAUGCAUAAGCCAACAUAACACUUAGAAGCUUCUGCACAGGCUUCAUGGUUCCAGCUAAUGCAUCAAAUACAAUAAUGAAAAGGACUGGGCAUAGUGGACAGCACUGAUUAUUUUCAGAUUUGAUUGGGAUUGAUUCAAGUUCUUCUCCACUGAACCUGACGCUGCCCGUGGGUUUGUCAUAGAAACCUCCAUUCUAUUGAGGUACCAUAGGACUUUUAUCAA